This 773-nucleotide ribosomal RNA is filed under the name uncultured Neocallimastigales. Its description in RNAcentral is "partial large subunit ribosomal RNA". It matches the Rfam family "Eukaryotic large subunit ribosomal RNA", at positions 18 to 617 of the family's 3401-position model. Lineage: Eukaryota; Fungi; Neocallimastigomycota; Neocallimastigomycetes; Neocallimastigales. The record is from RNAcentral.
UCAGACGAUGCGUCAUGCAUAUCAAUAAGCGGAGGAAAAGAAACUAACAAGGAUUCCCCUAGUAACGGCGAGUGAAGCGGGAAGAGCUCAAAUUUGAAAUCUUAAAGGGUUUCCCUUUACGAAUUGUAGUUUAAAGAAGUGUUUUCUGUUGAGGUUUUGGUAAAAGUUCUUUGGAAUAGGACAUCAUAGAGGGUGAAAAUCCCGUAUUUGACCUUUACUUUCAACUUUGUGAUACACUUUCAAAGAGUCGGAUUGUUUGGGAAUGCAGUCCAAAAUGGGUGGUAAAUUUCAUCUAAAGCUAAAUAUUGGCGAGAGACCGAUAGCGAACAAGUACCGUGAGGGAAAGAUGAAAAGAACUUUGAAAGGAGAGUUAAACAGUACGUGAAAUUGUCAAAAGGGAAGCGUUUGACACCAGUGUUGUUUUUCUGAAAAUCACUUAAAGAACUGUUUAUGCUAAGUUGUUUAGACUUUAUCAGCUAACUGUUUAGUUUUGAGCUUUUCUUUAAUGCACUUUUCAGUUAACAAGUCAACAUCAAUUUCUUUUGCUGUAAAAAAGCUUGAGGAAGGUGGCUUGAGAUUCGUCUUAAGUGUUUAUAGCCUCUUGCCUAUGCAGUCGGAGAGAUUGAGGUCUGCAGCGUAGAUCCUUCGGGGCUAAAUGCAUUUGUGCUAAGUUAUAGCAUUUUAUAGACAACUUGUUGACUAUGAUUUGUCUUGUAGCUUACUCGCUUAUGUUAUUUUACCUACGCUUAGGAUGUUGAGCGCAUGUCUCUCUC